CAUAGCUGCUCCUUUGCCCAUUGCCAAUGCAACAUCUUGGUUGAUUUUUCCUCCACCUGUAUCUUCUGAGUUGAUCUUUUUUUCUAUUUCUGGUGCAUCACCACAUAUAGAAUGAAAAGGGAGAACACCUGAAGUACUUGAUCUGAGAAAAGUGGCCCGUAAUCCAUUCACAUAGGCAUCUGAAAACAGAAACCAGUCUGACCAUACUUGCAAUACCUUCAAAACUCGUUCCUUGAGGGCCUCAGCAGUGAUCCUCCC
RNAcentral lists this unclassified non-coding RNA (258 nucleotides) under Hevea brasiliensis (rubber tree). The record is from RNAcentral. Lineage: Eukaryota; Viridiplantae; Streptophyta; Magnoliopsida; Malpighiales; Euphorbiaceae.